UACGUAGGUCCCGAGCGUUGUCCGGAUUUAUUGGGCGUAAAGCGAGCGCAGGUGGUUUAUUAAGUCUGGUGUAAAAGGCAGUGGCUCAACCAUUGUAUGCAUUGGAAACUGGUAGACUUGAGUGCAGGAGAGGAGAGUGGAAUUCCAUGUGUAGCGGUGAAAUGCGUAGAUAUAUGGAGGAACUCCGGUGGCGAAAGCGGCUCUCUGGCCUGUAACUGACACUGAGGCUCGAAAGCGUGGGGAGCAAACAGG
Molecule: ribosomal RNA, 252 nt
Filed under: uncultured bacterium
Lineage: Bacteria
Description: partial 16S ribosomal RNA
Rfam family: Bacterial small subunit ribosomal RNA
Source: RNAcentral